RNAcentral lists this long non-coding RNA (234 nucleotides) under Manihot esculenta (cassava). Its description in RNAcentral is "long non-coding RNA (MESC_LNC004932)". Lineage: Eukaryota; Viridiplantae; Streptophyta; Magnoliopsida; Malpighiales; Euphorbiaceae. The record is from RNAcentral.
UAACACUUGGUCAUGUGGUCUAGCGGAUACCCGCCCUGUGGCCUAGGCAUGAAUUGCCAUAGAAUAUCUCUUUUAAACAUGGAGCUAACGCCUCAUCAUUAGGCCUGAUAGGUACUCGCCUUGUAGCUUGGUAUAAAAUGCCUUAGUUAACAAGACUAACACUUGUUUAUGGAGCCUAGCAGAUACCAACCUUGUGGCUAUAGAAUACAUAACUUGAAAAAAAAUAAUAAAUCA